CCCUUAGAUGUUCGGGGCCGCACGCGCGCUACACUGAAUGAAUCAGCGAGCGUAUGUCCUAGGCCGAAAGGUCCGGGUAACCCGUUGAACCUCAUUCGUGAUUGGGAUAGGGACUUGCAAUUGUUUCCCUUGAACGAGGAAUUCCCAGUAAGCGCAAGUCAUCAGCUUGCGUUGAUUACGUCCCUGCCCUUUGUACACACCGCCCGUCGCUACUACCGAUUGAAUGGUUUAGUGAGAUCCUUGGAUCGGCCCUGUCGCGGCUGGCAACGGCCGCGUCGGCGCGUCGAGAAGACGAUCAAACUUGAUCAUUUAGAGGAAGUAAAAGUCGUAACA
RNAcentral lists this ribosomal RNA (333 nucleotides) under uncultured eukaryote. Its description in RNAcentral is "partial 18S ribosomal RNA". It matches the Rfam family "Eukaryotic small subunit ribosomal RNA", at positions 1470 to 1796 of the family's 1831-position model. The record is from RNAcentral.